This 460-nucleotide ribosomal RNA is filed under the name uncultured bacterium. Its description in RNAcentral is "partial 16S ribosomal RNA". It matches the Rfam family "Bacterial small subunit ribosomal RNA", at positions 338 to 795 of the family's 1533-position model. The record is from RNAcentral.
CCUACGGGGGGCUGCAGUGAGGAAUAUUGGUCAAUGGGCGCAAGCCUGAACCAGCCAAGUCGCGUGAGGGAUGACGGUCCUAUGGAUUGUAAACCUCUUUUGUCGGGGAGCAAGGCCCGCCACGUGUGGCGGGAAGGAGAGUACCCGAAGAAAAAGCAUUGGCUAACACCGUGCCAGCAGCCGCGGUAAUACGGAGGAAGCGAGCGUUAUCCGGAUUUAUUGGGUUUAAAGGGUGCGUAGGCGGAAGGUUAAGUCAGCGGUAAAAUGUCGGUGCUCAACACCGGCCUGCCGUUGAAACUGGUCUUCUUGAGUGAGCGAGAAGUAUGCGGAAUGCGUGGUGUAGCGGUGAAAUGCAUAGAUAUCACGCAGAACUCCGAUUGCGAAGGCAGCAUACCGGCGCUCAACUGACGCUGAGGCACGAAAGCGUGGGGAUCGAACAGGAUUAGAUACCCCAGUAGUC